This is a long non-coding RNA of Oncorhynchus tshawytscha (Chinook salmon), 412 nucleotides long. The record is from Ensembl. NCBI's taxonomy places the organism in Eukaryota, Metazoa, Chordata, Actinopteri, Salmoniformes, Salmonidae.
CGUGGUUACAAUUUCAAAAUCCAUUUAUCAUCUCUUUUCAACAACUAAGAUCCCUUGAAGCUGUCCUCAGACAACCAUCACCUCUGGAUGUUCUACCACCACCAGACCUGCAGUAAUUCAGCUGAGUGUUUUUACAGGAGUUCAUCGUUGGUGCUGUUGUGGGGAAAUGACAUAGGGGCGCAGGUGUUCUUUAUGAUGGGCUGCCAGGACCGGCGACGAGGAGCAGGAAUAGACGUGACAGUACACCGAUUAGAGGGAUGCCCCGAGGGCAAGGACGGGCCAGUCAGCAAAGGUAGAAAUCUUAGAUGUUGUAUCUCGAAUGUUGUCCAUCGGUACCCAACACCGCUCCUCUGGACCGUACCCCUCCCAGUCCACCAGGUACUGGAGCCAACCCCCACGAUGUCGGGAGUCC